RNAcentral lists this ribosomal RNA (990 nucleotides) under Triticum aestivum (bread wheat). Its description in RNAcentral is "partial small subunit ribosomal RNA". Lineage: Eukaryota; Viridiplantae; Streptophyta; Magnoliopsida; Poales; Poaceae. The record is from RNAcentral.
AUGGAUCCGAGUGGUUUCAGCAGUGCCCGAAUACAUCCACAUCGGAUGGUCACGAGCUUGAAGCGGUUGAAUGCGUCGCCUGAGGAAGACCUCCAGCAAAUCCAUACCGGUUACCCCAUCACGGACAAGUUGAACUACUCGAUCGACCAGCACCUUCACUCGUCCCUUCUCCUCCGGGAUCACCUUCAAGGUGGAAGGCUUCCCCACUCGGGCCAUGGAAAAAGGGGGAAGUCCAGUCGACUGACCUGGAGUUGGCUGAUCUUUGCAGUAGAACCAGGUCGACUGCCACCCUCGGACCGACUCCGGAAGGAUCAUGGCUGGGAAGGAACUUUUACCCCUCAUCUGAAUCCCGAGACCCGCACACAUCUGGAUCACUUUUGUCUUCUCGUCACUCGGAUUGGCCUUUUUGACCGACUGGGAGCGACGUGUGAAAAUGUGCUUGAAGAGGCCUCAGUGGGGUCGGCAACCCAAGAAAUUUUCGCACAGAGACACGAAAGCACCAAGAUAUACGAUGGUGUUUGGAGUAAAGUGGUGGAGUUGCGCCCCAAAGAAGUUCAAGAAACCUCGAAAGAAAGGGUGGGGAGGCAAGGAGAACCCGUGGUCGAUGUGAGUAGCCAGGAGAACGCACUCACCCUCCUGCGGCUGCGGCUCGGUCUCGUUCCCCGGAAGUCGUGCCGAUUCGUGAGGGAUCAGUCCCCCCUUGACCAAGUCGUCGAUGUCAUCCUGACGGAUCGCCGAGCGAAUCCAGUCGCCCUGGAUCCAUCCCGGCGGCAGGCCGGACCUCGAGGAAGAUGCGCCCCAGCUGGACUUCUUCCCCUUCGCCUUCGUCGUCGCCUUCUUCGCACGCUCCAGUGCCACCGUCUUCUCCUUCCCCAUCGCGGCGAGCAGAGCUCGAAAGGGGAGGCGGCGGCGCUGGCGCAGGAGCGGAUGCAGCGGAGAAAACUGAGAGGAAAAGAGAAGAAUGAAGACGCACUGUUCAAAAAACCCUGA